GACGAACGCUGGCGGCGUGCUUAACACAUGCCAGUCGAACGGAAAGGCCCUGCUUUUGUGGGGUGCUCGAGUGGCGAACGGGUGAGUAACACGUGAGUAACCUGCCCUUGACUUUGGAAUAACUUCAGGAAACUGGGGCUAAUACCGGAUAGCAGCUCCUGCUGCAUGGGGGUGGUUGGACAGUUUGGGCGGAUGGGGAUGGACUCGCGGCUUAUCAGCUUGUUGGUGGGGUAGUGGCUUACCAAGGCUUUGACGGGUAGCCGGCCUGAGAGGGUGACCGGCCACAUUGGGACUGAGAUACGGCCCAGACUCCUACGGGAGGCAGCAGUGGGGAAUAUUGCACAAUGGGCGGAAGCCUGAUGCAGCAACGCCGCGUGCGGGAUGACGGCCUUCGGGUUGUAAACCGCUUUCGCCUGUGACGAAGCGUGAGUGACGGUAAUGGGUAAAGAAGCACCGGCUAACUACGUG
Molecule: ribosomal RNA, 468 nt
Filed under: uncultured bacterium
Lineage: Bacteria
Description: partial 16S ribosomal RNA
Rfam family: Bacterial small subunit ribosomal RNA
Source: RNAcentral